RNAcentral lists this ribosomal RNA (497 nucleotides) under uncultured bacterium. RNAcentral describes it as "partial 16S ribosomal RNA". It matches the Rfam family "Bacterial small subunit ribosomal RNA", at positions 28 to 507 of the family's 1533-position model. The record is from RNAcentral.
GAUGAACGCUGGCGGCGUGCCUAAUACAUGCAAGUCGAGCGAACAGACGAGGAGCUUGCUCCUCUGACGUUAGCGGCGGACGGGUGAGUAACACGUGGAUAACCUACCUAUAAGACUGGGAUAACUUCGGGAAACCGGAGCUAAUACCGGAUAACAUGUUGAACCGCAUGGUUCAACAGUGAAAGACGGUCUUGCUGUCACUUAUAGAUGGAUCCGCGCCGCAUUAGCUAGUUGGUAAGGUAACGGCUUACCAAGGCAACGAUGCGUAGCCGACCUGAGAGGGUGAUCGGCCACCCUGGAACUGCGACACGGUCCAGACUCCUACGGGAGGCAGCAGUAGGGAAUCUUCCGCAAUGGGCGAAAGCCUGACGGAGCAACGCCGCGUGAGUGAAGAAGGUCUUCGGAUCGUAAAACUCUGUUAUUAGGGAAGAACAAAUGUAUAAGUAACUAUGCACGUCUUGACGGUACCUAAUCAGAAAGCCACGGCUAACUACGUG